CGUAGGCAGGGGGAACGGGGCUCAGGCAGCAGGCGCACGGGCGCCAUGAGCGAGGCGGAUGGGCUGCGGCAGCGCCGGCCCGUGCGGCCGCAGGUUGUCACGGACGAUGCCCGGGUCCUGGAGGCCAAGGGCGGCAGCUCCUUCAGUGGCAGAGUGUUCCGAGCCACCUUCCUGAUGCUGGCUGUGUUCCUCACCGUCCCCCUGCUUGGUGCCAUGAUGCUGCUGGACUCUCCCAUAGACCCACAGCCUCUCAGCUUCAAAGAACCCCCGCUCUUGCUUGGUGUCCUGCAACCAAAUACGAAGUUGCGACAGGCGGAAAGGCUUUUUGAAAAUCAGCUUGUUGGGCCAGAGUCCAUAGCACAUAUCGGGGAUGUAAUGUUCACUGGUACAGCAGAUGGCCGAGUCGUAAAACUUGAAAACGGUGAAGUAGAGACCAUCGCCCGGUUUGGCUCAGGCCCAUGCAAAACCCGAGAUGAUGAGCCUGCUUGUGGGAGACCCCUGGGCAUCCGGGCCGGGCCCAACGGGACCCUUUUUGUGGCUGAUGCAUACAAAGGGCUAUUUGAAGUAAAUCCCUGGAAACGUGAAGUAAAACUGCUGCUGUCCUCCGAGACACCCAUUGAGGGGAGGAAAAUGUCCUUUGUGAAUGAUCUUACAGUAACUCGGGACGGGAGGAAGAUUUAUUUUACGGAUUCUAGCAGCAAAUGGCAAAGACGAGAUUAUCUGCUGCUGGUGAUGGAGGGGACAGAUGAUGGUCGCCUGCUGGAGUACGACACUGAGACCAAGGAGGUAAAGGUUUUGCUGGACCACUUGCGGUUUCCCAACGGGGUACAGCUCUCACCUGCGGAGGACUUUGUCCUGGUGGCGGAAUUGACCAUGGCGAGGAUCAGGAGGUUCUACGUGUCUGGCCUGAUGAAGGGAGGGGCCGACCUGUUUGUGGAGAACUUGCCUGGAUUCCCAGACAACAUCCGAGCCAGCAGCUCCGGGGGUUACUGGGUCGGCAUGUCGACCAUUCGCUCCAAUCCUGGGUUUUCCAUGUUGGAUUUCUUAUCUGAGAGACCGUAUCUUAAAAGAAUGAUUUUUAAGCUGUUCAGCCAGGAGACGGUGAUGAAGUUCGUGCCGCGGUACAGCCUCGUCCUGGAGCUCAGUGACAGCGGGGCCUUCCGGAGGAGCCUGCACGACCCUGAUGGGCAGGUGGCUGCUUACGUGAGCGAGCAGCACCACCAGGAAUGGCAGAAGAGGAAACGGAGGCUCACAGAGGACCAGUGACAUACACAAGCCUAGUUAUGACUGUCCAGGCCUUGUGCCAGCUCCUCGGGUUCAGCUUUGGAUCUGUCCCUGCCUCUGCGUGUAGGUCGCCUGAGUGCGUCUUUUGGGAGGUCUGAGGUCUUCUGCCAGCAUUCAGAAGAAGAAGCGCCCUGUCUGCUGAGAGGAGUUCCGUUCGGCCUCUGAACCUCAGUUUCCCUGUUUGUGAAUCAGAGAACUAAUUCCCACCCUCCCGCGUCACAGGGCCUUUCUCAAGAGGACCAGAUUUAAUCAGAUUCAAUAAUCUAUGUAAACACUUACUGCUUCCCCAAUGACUGAUGCUGAGGGAAUAAACAAACUCGUAAAAUAA
RNA transcript from Lagenorhynchus albirostris (white-beaked dolphin), 1612 nucleotides. It is a transcript of the gene named adipocyte plasma membrane associated protein, with no coding region annotated. The record is from RefSeq and is a predicted model, not a curated record. Lineage: Eukaryota; Metazoa; Chordata; Mammalia; Artiodactyla; Delphinidae. The transcript has 12 exons.